This 254-nucleotide ribosomal RNA is filed under the name uncultured bacterium. Its description in RNAcentral is "partial 16S ribosomal RNA". It matches the Rfam family "Bacterial small subunit ribosomal RNA", at positions 524 to 776 of the family's 1533-position model. The record is from RNAcentral.
UACGGGGGGAGCAAGCGUUGUUCGGAUUUACUGGGCGUAAAGGGCGCGUAGGCGGUCGUGACAAGUCACUUGUGAAAUCUCCGGGCCUAACUCGGAACGGUCAAGUGAUACUGUCGGACUAGAGUACAGAAGGGGCAACUGGAAUUCUCGGUGUAGCGGUGAAAUGCGUAGAUAUCGAGAGGAACACCUGCGGCGAAGGCGGGUUGCUGGGCUGAUACUGACGCUGAGGCGCGAAAGCCAGGGGAGCGAACGGG